UUCUCGAAAACCCUAAUUUCCAAGUAUGCAGUUUUCAAAUCUAAAAGCAAAAGUAAAUUUUGUUUUAGUUUUUACUUUUUUUUUAAUAUUCGUUUCCUUUUCUUUGGUUAAAUUUUUUUGUCUCUUUGAUUGUCGGUUACUGUAUAGAGGUUAUGUUAGUACUUCGAGGCUGAUGUUUUAACCGGUCUACAUGCUCUUAUUAGUUAUGAAUGCAUUAUGUUUUUGGUGUGCAUUUAGAGAUUCCCAGCUUUUUUAACCCUUUGGGUUGAGAUUCUGGAGUUGGUUAGGAGAGUUGAUGGGGAAUCUAUGCACCUGUCACUGCUAUGGUCCAAUUUGUUAUAUAACAUGACAAACUUUGUCUUUAGUAACUGAAGUCUGAGGGGUAAUGAUUUUGUCUUGGUUUUAAAUUAGUUCCUUAUCGUCAUCUCGGGGCAAGCUGAAUGGCAUGAAUGAAAUGACUUGGUUGGCCUUUAUAGCUCCGGGUCUCUUUUAUUACAUUUAAAAAACCCCAAACACGUGCUUCACCUUCAGGAACAAAAUGGAGAGCUGGUGUCGUGAUGCAUGUAUUUUGCCGAUAUAUAGCUAGAUGGAGUGUUGAGAAAGAAGACGAAUGGAAAGUGUUGCUGACCUUGCCUCUAGCAUUAUUGGUGGAAAAGGAUGAAUUUUUUAUAAUUUUCGCUUUUAACAUACUGGUUUGUGCUUUUUUAUUCCUCUAUUUUGAAUAAAGGUUCCACCAUAUAACCAUGGUUCUGGCAGGAUUUUUUCCCUUGAGAUUCUUGCAUUAUUUUGCAGUUCCUGGCUAUAUUUCUAUUUAAACAAUGUUUCAUCUCUAUUUAAUGGUCUAUUAUGUCGUAAUAGAAUGCAGCUAAAGGUUAGGUUUGUAAUGGGAGUGGAUUGUCUAAUUUUCUGGUGGCAAUGUUACUACUUAGUUUGGAGCGUUU
Vigna angularis (adzuki bean) is the source of this 941-nucleotide long non-coding RNA. RefSeq lists it as uncharacterized. The record is from RefSeq and is a predicted model, not a curated record. The transcript is spliced from 3 exons. NCBI's taxonomy places the organism in Eukaryota, Viridiplantae, Streptophyta, Magnoliopsida, Fabales, Fabaceae.